RNAcentral lists this transfer RNA (71 nucleotides) under Caudacaecilia cf. asplenia ZRC 1.12502. Its description in RNAcentral is "tRNA-Gln". It matches the Rfam family "tRNA". From Rfam's summary of the family: Transfer RNA (tRNA) molecules are approximately 80 nucleotides in length. Their secondary structure includes four short double-helical elements and three loops (D, anti-codon, and T loops). Lineage: Eukaryota; Metazoa; Chordata; Amphibia; Gymnophiona; Ichthyophiidae. The record is from RNAcentral.
UAGAAGGUGGUGUAUUGGGAGCACGAGGAGUUUUGAUCUCUUAUGUAUAGGUUCGGAUCCUAUCUUUCUAA